RNAcentral lists this ribosomal RNA (253 nucleotides) under uncultured bacterium. RNAcentral describes it as "partial 16S ribosomal RNA". It matches the Rfam family "Bacterial small subunit ribosomal RNA", at positions 524 to 776 of the family's 1533-position model. The record is from RNAcentral.
UACGUAGGUGGCAAGCGUUGUCCGGAUUUAUUGGGUUUAAAGGGCGCGUAGGCGGCAAUUCAAGUCAGCUGUGAAAUCUCCGGGCUUAACUCGGAACGGUCAGCUGAUACUGCUUUGCUAGAGUGCAGAAGGGGCAAUCGGAAUUCUUGGUGUAGCGGUGAAAUGCGUAGAUAUCAAGAGGAACACCUGAGGUGAAGACGGGUUGCUGGGCUGACACUGACGCUGAGGCGCGAAAGCUAGGGUAGCAAACGGG